Molecule: ribosomal RNA, 866 nt
Filed under: Marinobacterium sp. SK219
Lineage: Bacteria; Pseudomonadati; Pseudomonadota; Gammaproteobacteria; Oceanospirillales; Oceanospirillaceae
Description: bacterial SSU rRNA
Rfam family: Bacterial small subunit ribosomal RNA
Source: RNAcentral
GUUUGAUAUCAUGCUCAUAUUGAACGCUGGCGGCAGGCCUAACACAUGCAAGUCGAGCGGUAGAGAGAAGCUUGCUUCUCUUGAGAGCGGCGGACGGGUGAGUAACGCGUAGGAAUCUACUGGUAGUGGGGGACAACAUUCGGAAACGGAUGCUAAUACCGCAUACGCCCUAAGGGGGAAAGGAGGGGAUCUAUUUAUAGACCUUUCGCUAUCAGAUGAGCCUGCGUAGGAUUAGCUAGUUGGUAGGGUAAAGGCCUACCAAGGCGACGAUCCUUAGCUGGUCUGAGAGGAUGACCAGCCACACUGGGACUGAGACACGGCCCAGACUCCUACGGGAGGCAGCAGUGGGGAAUAUUGGACAAUGGGGGCAACCCUGAUCCAGCCAUGCCGCGUGUGUGAAGAAGGCCUUCGGGUUGUAAAGCACUUUCAGUGGUGAGGAAAGGGUAACGGUUAAUAACCGUUACCUGUGACGUUAGCCACAGAAGAAGCACCGGCUAAUUCCGUGCCAGCAGCCGCGGUAAUACGGAAGGUGCGAGCGUUAAUCGGAAUAACUGGGCGUAAAGCGCGCGUAGGUGGUUGAGUCAGUCAGAUGUGAAAGCCCCGGGCUUAACCUGGGAACUGCACCUGAUACUGCUUAACUAGAGUACGGUAGAGGGCAGUGGAAUUUCCUGUGUAGCGGUGAAAUGCGUAGAUAUAGGAAGGAACACCAGUGGCGAAGGCGACUGCCUGGAUUGAUACUGACACUGAGGUGCGAAAGCGUGGGUAGCAAACAGGAUUAGAUACCCUGGUAGUCCACGCCGUAAACGAUGUCGACUAGCCGUUGGGAGACUUGCUCUCUUAGUGGCGCAGCUAACGCAAUAAGUCGA